GAACGAACAGGGAAGAAAGAAAAGAAAGAAGAAGAAGAGAAAAAAAAAGAAAAGAAAAGAAAGAAAAUGGUUUGGGCUAUUUGUUUUAGUGGGCUCGUGUUUGUUUUUAGUUGGGUUUUGACUUGGGUUUUGGUUUUCUUUUUUGGGUUUUACGCAUGGGCUUGGGAGUUGAACCCCAUGUAUUUCAGCUGGGUUUGUUUGACAAAAAGGAUGGGCUGGGCCAUUUAUUUUUCCUUUGGGUUUCGGUGGGGCUUAGGUAGUUUUUGGCCCAGAAAUAAAUAAAAUGAUGGCUCAGUGGCAGAUUUGUUAAGGA
This 313-nucleotide long non-coding RNA is filed under the name Coffea arabica (coffee). RNAcentral describes it as "long non-coding RNA (CARA_LNC005128)". The record is from RNAcentral. Lineage: Eukaryota; Viridiplantae; Streptophyta; Magnoliopsida; Gentianales; Rubiaceae.